CACCUUGUGACAGUAAGUAACCUCUAAUUUUUCCCUAGCAGGUGGUGGUUGUCAGAAGGACAGUGAAAGGUCUCUAGGCCUGUGUGACUGAGGCCUAGUAUUAGCUUAUUAGCACUAGCUAAGUUUUUCAUUUACAGUGAUAAACGUCUUGUCCUUCACCUCCCAAAUGGCAGAAGACCUACUACUGACCCAUCCAGAUUAAAAAUACAUCUAACAUAAAUAGCAUGAAGCAUACAGAAAAUUACCAGACGAGUGCUACAGUACAGAGUGUCCAUGGCCAUAAAGUGUCUGAAAGCUAUGAGAAGUAAUUGCAAAGAGGAAAAACGUACAGGUGAAGAGGCUCUGUGAAGAGGUUGCUGUCUGCUUGAGCCAUGUGCUUUGUGCCAUUUUUGUUGGAUGAGAAACCACUCGAGCUUUGCCUGCGUCACGACACAGCUUCUCUCCACAGCACUUGGAUGAGCGAUGCUGCCUCUGCCUCAUCUUUGACUGGCAGAAUAAACACUGUUACCACAACAGCCAUGCUGGGAGACAAACUACAAGUAACAACAGAGCUUGUGGCCAUAGGUGAGGAUAGGAACUGCUCAGCUCUCUCGUCACCACAACAGUCCACCAGUCAGUCUCCUGCUCCACUCUCCCUUCAAGACGCUGAAAAUAUUAAACUCCUCAACUUGGGUCAGCAACUCGUUCCUCACCUAGAGUGUGAGGAGGUGCUAAUUCACAUCCCAGCUGCUUCACACAAAACCACCAGCCAACAAAAUCACAUCAUCCGCAAAAAGCCAAGAUGCCAAGAUGAGCUGGGGUUUUUUUUCUUUGUUUUUGCUUUAAUUUCAGCAGUCAUUUACAACAACUUUUCACACAUGUUAAAUGUCAGCAUCUUCUGUAUUUAGGUUUAAAUUAUGUGUGUUAUUUAAUUCACAUUUCGAACCAAAUACCACACCAUGUUUUCUUGGCAUUAAAACUCUAUGAAUCCUUCUAAUAUCCCAUUAAUUCUUAAGUCUCUUUGCACACAUUAAAAUGGACUCAUAGUUAAGAACAAGAUUAAAAACUUUAAAUAUGUACAAAAAGUACAAAGUAAAGUUAGCCCUGUGUCAGAUUGGUGACCUGUCCAUGGUGUACCGCGCCACAUGGACUGUGGUAACUGGAAUAGCCCUCCCCCCAAAAAAUCCUAAUAAUGAUAGGCAGAAGAGUAUAGGUGGACAAAAAGUAGAAAUUGGGCAGCACAGUGUCCUGGUGGUUAGCACUAUUGCCUCACAAAAAAAGGGAUGAUUGUCUGUCUCUCUGUGUUAGCCCUACAACAGAUUGGCGACCUCUUCAGGCUUUCCUUGCCUCCUGCCGUAUCGCAGCAGGGAUAGGCUCCAGCUCCCCUGUGACCCAAAUUAGAUAAGCAGAAGAAAAUUGAUGGAUGGAAGUUGAAAAGUGACUGUAGACAACUUCCUUGGGGUACUUCACAGCAUAGUCAUCACAUCUAAGAAUAAUUACCAUAUAUAGUGUAUACUAACUUAACCAACCUAAUGCAACUUUAAUCUGUGCAGCUGGAGAUGUUUUAAAGUUUUAAAACUUCACCUUACUCAAUAAUGACUUGUGGUCAAAUGCUUCUUUAGCAGGACCCACCUUAGAAAAAUAACUAGCAUUAAAGAAACCUUUUGAGGUUCUUGUAAUUAAACACAAGCAAAAAGAAAAUCUAAACAAAAGGUAGAUGAGGAAAUGGAUUAACAGAGGAGAUGGCAAGCAAGGGUGGAUGCAAACAGCAACAAUAAAUGUUACACUGGAGACAAAGCAAGAAACAAAAGAAAGUUGCACGAGAAGAGCAAAGAAUCUCAGAAAACAAUGCAAGGAUGGGAAGUGUAAAAGAAGCAGACAAAAAUGCUGGUGCAGAAAGGAAAGCAGUGAGGAGCAACGCAAACAGAGAGAGAUAAAGAAAGAUUGGCAAGCCAAAAGGGAGACCACAGCAAUGUACAUAGCAUCAGGCUGAUAUUGUCAUUCUAUGCAGCAGCCCAGCUCCAAUGUGCUGAUUAUGAGAGCAUCAUUUGAGACUGACAACCUUGUUGCUAUAGUACAGCAUGCCAAACACAUUCCCAGCCCCCAUCGUUCUCCUUCUGUGUUCUCCCCCUGAGCUCACACAAUAGCCGUCUGAUGAAGACUGAAUGAUUGGAGGAGGAACGAAGUGAAACGUGAAAGAAUUACACACAAAAAAAGGCAAAACACUUUUUGAGAAGCUGGUGACGAGGCUAGUGGAAAAAAUAUAAAACCAGAGAGAGAGAGAGAAGAGGAUGUGUGGAGAACAUGGACUCAAUGCAGCUGCAAUUAAGGGAGCGAUUUUGUGCCAGGGAAUAUGCUAAUUCCUCCUUUGUGUGAGCAGUUGAUUGGCCGUUGCACUGCGCACCAGGCAGUGAGAGAAGGGGAAGUAGUGGGCUUGGAAGCCUCUGUCUGGCAUGGCGUUCAUCACAGGCCUCAUUUAGCUACACCAUCACAGUUAGCAGCACUGGAUGAAAAAAAAGACUUUUUUGUCAAAUGCCUCUUCCUGUGUCGUCAUGUAGUACAUCCAAGGGAUGUAGGGAAAGAGAGGCUAGUUCAAUUAGCAAGCUCCUGAGACAAAGACAGGAACAAAGAUAUUCAUUAAUAGUCACACAUGACCUUUUUAUGUAUAUGAGCCGAGCCUCAAUCCACUGAGGACCGGUUUUAAUUUUGGACCUAAGGGAUUCUGGGAAUACUAUAGGAGACUGAAACUACUUUAGUAUUUCUAAUGCCUUCAGUUACUACACCAAGAGCUACAUUUGCAGACUUAAAUCUUAACAAUAAGCCUCAGUAGGUGUAUUUUACACCUUUAAAAGAACAAAUAAAAACACAGAGGUGCAGCAUAAAUACUGCCGUCGGUUUGCUGAUGUGCUUCAUUUUCUGCCGCCAAAGAAGAAGUGGCUGUUUUAUUCCAUUUAACAAAUUAAUCACAUGUAAUCACCAUGGUGUCAGAUGUAAAAUAAGCAUGAGUGGGCUUACACAUUCUGUAAUUCAUGGUCCAUAAUGUGUUGUCAUUCAGCAUAUUUCCUUCGCACUAUCACGCGUAAUUAGACAGUCUCUUGAGAGAAAAAGUGGAGGCAGAGCAUCGUAAGGCGGCGUCAGCCUGUCAGCUGAGCGUGGUUGGUGAUUAGCUGUCCAUGCACAAUGUGCACACCAGUCCUUAUCGCGUCACAGACCACACACUUGUGCACUGAAAUCAUCCUAGCAUCGUAACUUUCUGAAAUGUGUUUACCCCCAAAAAUAAAUAAAAGGGAAAUUUUGUGAGAUGAAACAGCUAUAACUGCACCGAGAAUAAAGAGAAGCAUUUGCUGUAAUCUAUAAUUAAUCGUUAAUGCUGAGAACACAAGGGAAAGCAUAAUAUUGAGUUAUAAUUCCUAAUUUAACAUAAUUGGUUGGAGCUUGUUACUGCUAGAAUAUGUGAUGGA
Long non-coding RNA from Oreochromis niloticus (Nile tilapia), 3440 nucleotides. RefSeq lists it as uncharacterized. The record is from RefSeq and is a predicted model, not a curated record. NCBI's taxonomy places the organism in Eukaryota, Metazoa, Chordata, Actinopteri, Cichliformes, Cichlidae. The transcript is spliced from 5 exons.